RNAcentral lists this ribosomal RNA (394 nucleotides) under uncultured eukaryote. RNAcentral's name for it is "bacterial SSU rRNA". It matches the Rfam family "Eukaryotic small subunit ribosomal RNA", at positions 4 to 396 of the family's 1831-position model. The record is from RNAcentral.
CUGGUUGAUCCUGCCAGUAGUCAUAUGCUUGUCUCAAGAUUAAGCCAUGCAUGUCUCAGUAUAAGGCUGUAGAUGCCGAAACUGCGAAUGGCUCAUUAAAACAGUUAUAGUUCAUUUGCUGGUUGAAAGACUAUCUGGAUAAACUGUGGCAAUUCUAGAGCUAAUACAUGCGUAAAGACGCAACUUCGCGGAAGCGUUGUAUUUGUUGGACACACGAACCACCCCGGCUAUCCGGUAUCUGGACGACUCACAAUAAAUGGGUGGAGCCGCGUGACAUGUGUUGGCGCCAAAACAUUCAAGUUUCUGACCUAUCAGCUUCCGACGGUAGGGUAUUGGCCAACCGUGGCAUUGACGGGUAACGGAGAAUUAGGGUUCGAUUCCGGAGAGGGGAGCC